CCAGAGUAGCCCUAGGCUCUCCAACCCACUGUGAACAUACCUAUCGUUCCCUCGGCGGGCUCAGCGCGCGCUGCCUCCGGGCUCCGGGCGUCCGCCGGGGACACCCAAACUCUGCUUUUAUUGUGAAUCUCUGAGGGGCGACAGCCCGAAAACAAAAUGAAUCA
RNAcentral lists this unclassified non-coding RNA (164 nucleotides) under uncultured Ascomycota. Its description in RNAcentral is "sequence contains ITS1". The record is from RNAcentral. Lineage: Eukaryota; Fungi; Ascomycota.